RNAcentral lists this ribosomal RNA (468 nucleotides) under uncultured bacterium. RNAcentral describes it as "partial 16S ribosomal RNA". It matches the Rfam family "Bacterial small subunit ribosomal RNA", at positions 28 to 507 of the family's 1533-position model. The record is from RNAcentral.
GACGAACGCUGGCGGCGUGCUUAACACAUGCAAGUCGAACGGAAAGGCCCUGCUUUUGUGGGGUGCUCGAGUGGCGAACGGGUGAGUAACACGUGAGUAACCUGCCCUUGACUUUGGGAUAACUUCAGGAAACUGGGGCUAAUACCGGAUAGGAGCUCCUGCUGCAUGGUGGGGGUUGGAAAGUUUCGGCGGUUGGGGAUGGACUCGCGGCUUAUCAGCUUGUUGGUGGGGUAGUGGCUUACCAAGGCUUUGACGGGUAGCCGGCCUGAGAGGGUGACCGGCCACAUUGGGACUGAGAGACGGCCCAGACUCAUACGGGAGGAAGCAGGGGGGAAUAUUGAACAAUGGGCGGAAGAAUGAUGGAGCAACGCCGCGUGCGGGAUGAAGGCCUUAGGGUUGGAAACCGCUUUCGCCUGUGACGAAGCGUGAGUGACGGUAAUGGGGAAAGAAGCAACGGCUAACUACGUG